UACAGAGGGUGCAAGCGUUAAUCGGAAUUACUGGGCGUAAAGCGUGCGUAGACGGUUAUGUAAGUCGGGUGUGAAAGCCCCGGGCUCAACCUGGGAAUUGCAUUCGAGACUGUGUAGCUAGGGUACGGAAGAGGGAAGCGGAAUUUCAGGUGUAGCGGUGAAAUGCGUAGAUAUCUGAAGGAACACCAGUGGCGAAAGCGGCUUCCUGGUCCAGUACCGACGUUCAGGCACGAAAGCGUGGGGAGCAAACAGG
This 253-nucleotide ribosomal RNA is filed under the name uncultured bacterium. Its description in RNAcentral is "partial 16S ribosomal RNA". It matches the Rfam family "Bacterial small subunit ribosomal RNA", at positions 524 to 776 of the family's 1533-position model. The record is from RNAcentral. RNAcentral also lists the same sequence under 1 other name.